GAAUUCGAUGUUUUAGACCAACCAAGGUAUCUCUAGGAUGAAAGGUUUCUUCUUUUUUUUUUUUUUGAUGAAAGGUUUCUUCUCUGUAACAUCUUCUUAGAAUUCUUCUUAGAUGAUUGGCUGUAGUAACUCAUUGAUUGAAUCUCCAAACUUAGUAUGGUUUCUUUGUUCUCCGUCGGGCCUUUCUUGAUUAGAUUCAGAACCUUUUUGUUCUUGUCUAAAAACAUCAAGC
This 232-nucleotide long non-coding RNA is filed under the name Capsella rubella. RNAcentral's name for it is "long non-coding RNA (CRUB_LNC004976)". Lineage: Eukaryota; Viridiplantae; Streptophyta; Magnoliopsida; Brassicales; Brassicaceae. The record is from RNAcentral.